This is a long non-coding RNA of Spinacia oleracea (spinach), 1160 nucleotides long. RefSeq lists it as uncharacterized. The transcript is spliced from 5 exons. The record is from RefSeq and is a predicted model, not a curated record. NCBI's taxonomy places the organism in Eukaryota, Viridiplantae, Streptophyta, Magnoliopsida, Caryophyllales, Amaranthaceae.
CAUAAUAGUAAAAUAACUUUUCGUGUCCCCUAGGAAAUUUACAGAAAUACCCCCACCUUUGAAUUAAACCCCAGCCCUCCUUCGACGAGCUCUCUCUCCCUCUUUGACUCCAUUGCCUUUCUUCAUCUCUCCCUUUCUCUCUCCUCUCGCAUUUUAAUUUUUUGAAAUUUCUGCUCCUCAGAUCUCUCACAUUUUGAACUUUUGUUCUCCGGAGAUGAAACACCGCCACUAGCAAAGCGGUGGAGCUAGGCGCAUCUUGCGACGACGACGAGGCCGAGAACGAAGUCGCAGAGGAGAUCGACGAGGAUGACAACGAAGUCGCAGAGGAGAUCGACGAGGAUGACAACGAAGUCGCCGGCCACCGUAUUCUCCGCCGCUUCCUUAGCGCAACCACCGUAUUCGCUUUUCUAUUUCCAUCAGAAGUUCAGAUCUGAAGAAGCUAGACCAAUCAUAUUGGUGAUCUGCUGACUGCUGAUACAGCGCUACCCGUUGCUUCCAAACAAUAGAGAUUGUGGUUCCCUGACAUCGCUUCUUGAAUCAAUGCGGAACCUCACAUCACUUCAGACACUUGAGAUCAGUGUAUGUCGAGGGCUUCAUCAAUACCUAGAACAAAAAUACAAAUAACCAAAUGGGGAGGACUGGUACAAGAUUAAACACAUCCCCCAUAUUGAUUUUAAAUUAAAUAAUUAGAGGGGAGUGAACGGGAACCAUGGAUAGUGUCCGGUCUGGACCUUACAGUCAGAUUUUCCGACCUGAUAAAAGUGUCUUCGGGCAGGUAAUAACUGGGCAGAAGAUUAAUAUACUGAAGGUGCCGAGCUUAUUGACUUCGUAAGGAGGCUGAGAAUUGUGACUGUCUUCAAGGUACAUGAAGCCAAUGCUGCAGGCUAGCUUCUGCCUACAACCUCCAGGGGAGACUCCGUCAAGGAGAUCAACUUUCGAUUGGAUAAUUCGGGAUGCAUACACGUUUUCUUCGAGGAUCAAUCUGCCAAAAUUCAGUUUCAAUGACUAAUGUAAAAUGUUUAUUACUUUGUAUUAUUAUUUACAUUUCUUACGUACAUAGAUUUUUUGAUUGAUGCAAUUGUUGUGUUUAGUUAAAUAUGAACUUACAUCGCGAAAUUGACUUAUAGUAUUAACGUUUUUAAAUAUGAACUUUGCGAAUA